GACGAACGCUGGCGGCGUGCUUAACACAUGCAAGUCGAACGCUGAAGCUCAGCUUUUGUUGGGUGGAUGAGUGGCGAACGGGUGAGUAACACGUGAGUAACCUGCCCCCUUCUUUGGGAUAACGCCCGGAAACGGGUGCUAAUACUGGAUAUUCACUGGUCUUCGCAUGGGGGUUGGUGGAAAGGGUUUUUCUGGUGGGGGAUGGGCUCGCGGCCUAUCAGCUUGUUGGUGGGGUGAUGGCCUACCAAGGCUUUGACGGGUAGCCGGCCUGAGAGGGUGACCGGUCACAUUGGGACUGAGGUACGGCCCAGACUCCUACGGGAGGCAGCAGUGGGGAAUAUUGCACAAUGGGCGCAAGCCUGAUGCAGCGACGCCGCGUGAGGGAUGGAGGCCUUCGGGUUGUGAACCUCUUUCGCUCAUGGUCAAGCCGCAACAAUGGUUGUGGUGAGGGUAGUGGGUAAAGAAGCGCCGGCUAACUACGUG
This 483-nucleotide ribosomal RNA is filed under the name uncultured bacterium. Its description in RNAcentral is "partial 16S ribosomal RNA". It matches the Rfam family "Bacterial small subunit ribosomal RNA", at positions 28 to 507 of the family's 1533-position model. The record is from RNAcentral.